This 515-nucleotide ribosomal RNA is filed under the name uncultured bacterium. RNAcentral's name for it is "partial 16S ribosomal RNA". It matches the Rfam family "Bacterial small subunit ribosomal RNA", at positions 28 to 523 of the family's 1533-position model. The record is from RNAcentral.
GAUGAACGCUGGCGGCGUGCCUAAUACAUGCAAGUCGAGCGAAUGGAUUAAGAGCUUGCUCUUAUGAAGUUAGCGGCGGACGGGUGAGUAACACGUGGGUAACCUGCCCAUAAGACUGGGAUAACUCCGUGAAACCGGGGCUAAUACCGGAUAACAUUUUGAACCGCAUGGUUCGAAAUUGAAAGGCGGCUUCGGCUGUCACUUAUGGAUGGACCCGCGUCGCAUUAGCUAGUUGGUGAGGUAACGGCUCACCAAGGCAACGAUGCGGGGCCGACCUGAGAGGGUGAUCGGCCACACUGGGACUGAGACACGGCCCAGACUCCUACGGGAGGCAGCAGUAGGGAAUCUUCCGCAAUGGACGAAAGUCUGACGGAGCAACGCCGCGUGAGUGAUGAAGGCUUUCGGGUCGUAAAACUCUGUUGUUAGGGAAGAACAAGUGCUAGUUGAAUAAGCUGGCACCUUGACGGUACCUAACCAGAAAGCCACGGCUAACUACGUGCCAGCCGCCGCUGUAA